RNAcentral lists this ribosomal RNA (393 nucleotides) under marine Metazoa environmental sample. Its description in RNAcentral is "SSU rRNA". It matches the Rfam family "Eukaryotic small subunit ribosomal RNA", at positions 587 to 972 of the family's 1831-position model. The record is from RNAcentral. Lineage: Eukaryota; Metazoa.
AGCUCCAAUAGCGUAUAUUAAAGUUGUUGCAGUUAAAAAGCUCGUAGUUGGAUCUCAGGUUUACGGCUGGGUGGUCCGGCUCGCGCCGGUUCACUGCUCAGCAGUACCUAAAUUUUUCGCCGGCUCUCUCCCGUGGGUGCUCUUCGCUGAGCGUCCCGGGUGGCCGGCGCGUUUACUUUGAAAAAAUUAGAGUGUUCAAAGCAGGCCAAAGCAGCCUGAAUAAUGGUGCAUGGAAUAAUGGAAUAGGACCUCGGUUCUAUUUGGUUGGUUCUCGGAGCGGAGGUAAUGAUUAACAGGGACAAACGGGGGCAUUCGUAUUGCUGCGUUAGAGGUGAAAUUCUUGGAUCGCAGCAAGACGAGCUACUGCGAAAGCAUUUGUCAAGAAUGUUUUCA